UGGUCUCAAACACCUGGGCUCAAGUGAUCCACCUUCCUUGGCCUCCCAAGGUGCUGGGAUGACAUGCGGGAGCCACCCUCCCAGCCCCCACAGGGCAGACUGCUGCAGGUGCUGCAUUGUCCUCUACAAAGAAGGGAGGCCCUGCUCUGCGGCAACUGCUCCUGAGGUUGGCAUCUUUUAAAAAGCAGAUGCAGCCUGCAUUCUGAGGCAGUCCUUCUAAAAGCCCACCAAAUGAAUAAGGAGGUUUCUCACCUUUUCUCCUGUUGCAGAAAGCAUGUGAGCACCACUCAAGCGCUCUGCUGGUAAGGCUGGCAUAGAGGCUACUACUCUGUGUUUGCACAUGCCACUGCAGUGGGCUGAAUGGGGGUCUGCAAACCGAUCUGUCCAUGUGCUGACUCCACAAACCUGUGCGUGAGACCUUAUUAGUUAGGUACCCUGAGAUGGGAUCAUCCUGGUUUAGAGAGGGCCCUAGAUGCAAUGACCAGUGUCCUUCUGAGAGACAGAGGAGGAGACACAGACACAGGGGAGAAGGCCACGUGGGGACGGAGGCACAAACUGGAGUGAUGUGGCCACAAAGCCAGAGAUGCCUGGAGCCCCCAGGAGCUGGGAGAGUCAGGAAGGGUCCUCCCCUACAGCCUCUCAGGGAGCUCUGUUGGUGUCUUAAUCUCCUCUUUUAGUAAUCCAUAUCAGAUUAGGGCUCACCCUAAGGACCUCAGUUUAACUUAAUUACCUCUUCAAAGACCCCAUCUCUGAAUACGGUCACACCCUGAAGUACUGGUGGUUAGGGCUUCAACCUACAAAUUUGGAGGAGGCCAGAAUUCAGCCCACAACAGACGUUGUUUGCAAAUGUAAUCAACAGAAGAUGAGAUCUUUACAGUGGGCAGGCCUUGCUGCAAUGGCCGGUGUCCUUAUAGGAUGAGGAGAUUAGGACACAGACACAGAGGAGAAGGCCCCGUGGAGAUGGAGGCAGAGACUGUAGUGAUGCGGCCACAAGCUCAGGGACACCUGGAGCCCCCAGGAGCUGGGAAAGUCCGGAAGGAUCCUCCCAUAGGGCCCCCCGAGGGAGCCCGGCCCUGCCCACACCUGGAUUUAAGAUUUCUGGUCUCCAGACCUGGGAGAACAAAUUUCUGUUGUUUUAAGCUACCCAUUUUGUGGUAGUAAUACAUUCACCCCCUCACCGCAGUUCUGCAGCGUUUAAAAGGGCCUUUUUACCUGUUGGUAGUUUUUUGUUGAGUUCUGAGGCCCUAAGGAGUUUCCUAAUUUCUCCAGGCAGAUUUUAAAUGCACUAUUCCUUCAAACUCACAUCACAUCAUCACCAAUAGCAACAACCAACUGUACCUCAGUGUAUUGUUCCCAUAGCAACCGAGAUCCCCAAUGCCUAGAUCAUCCGCCAUGAUCAGUAGGAUAUUUGGUUUAAAGGCAUUUGCAGUUUUAGGUUCACACGUCUUCAGAAGCAAGCAUAAAAACAGUAGCACCGGCAAAGAUUCCCUGGAGAGAAAAGCAAAACACAGAAAUGACUAUCUACAAUUUGGCACAGGAAGUAGGCAUUUCAAGGCGGCUUGCUGGGAAGGUGAAGGUCUUCCGACCUUCUUAACUAAAUUAAGACAUUCAUCUUUAUGGGAGGUUAUUAUCUUGGCCUGAAUUCCUGCACUUGUGUCCCCAGACCAAACGAGGGUCAGACUGCUAUUUCCUGUGACUCAAUAGCGAGAUGCAGAUGUCUGAUACCCUAACUUGUAUUAACUUUAUUGACUCUCUCUUAGCUGAAAAAGCUGGAUGGAUUCCAUUUGGCUCCUUCAUUUGCAAGACAUUAAGGGCUCGUUACCCACCCCCUUCCUCAAGGACUUAACUUGUGCAAGCUGACACUUAGCACAUCAAAGAGUGCAAUUAACUGAUAAGCCCCAGGUCUUGACCUCACUGAUGGAGUCCAUGCUCUGGACCCAUUGGCCCACCUGGGAUGACUGUCAGCAGCUCCUUUUGACCCUUUUCAACGCUGAAGAGAAGGAACAGAUCCAAAGAGAGGCCAGUGUUUAAAUCCAGCUGCUUUCCUCCCUGAUCCAAACUUCACUACACCUGUCCGUGACUGCCAGGAACUGUUAGAAACUACAGAAACUGGCUGAACUGAUCUCCAAGAUAUGCCCCUAUAAACAUAUACCAUGUUUAUAGAUGGUAGCAGCUUCCUCGAACAGGGAGUACAAAAGAUUGGUGCAGCCUUUACUACGGAGACAGAUGUGCUGUGGUCCCAGGUGUUGCCAGCAGGUACCUCGGCACAGAAGGCUGAAUUGAUCGCCCUCACUCAGGCUGUCUGAUGGGUUAAGGACAAAUGUAUUAAUAUUUAUACUGACAGCAGGUAUGCUUUUGCUACUGUACAUGUACAUGGAGCCGUCUAUCAAGAAUGCGGGCUACUUACUUCAGCAGGAAAGAUUGUCAAAAACAAAGAAGAAAUUUUAGCCCUGCUUGAAGCAGGUGGCUGUAAUUCACUGCAAAGGACAUCAAAAGGAAGACUUGGCCAUUGCCCAUGGGAACCAAAGAGCAGAUUCUGUAACUCGAAAGGCAGCAUGGCUCCCUGUCAUGCCUUUAACCCUGCUGUCCGCUGUGUCCUUUCCGCAACCUAACUUGGCAGCCCCAGAAAAAAAAAGAAACAAGCUUCAGAUCUUCAGGCCAAUUAAAAUCAGGAAGGUUGGUGGAUUCUUCCUGAUUCCAGAAUCUUCAUACCCCGAGCUCUCAAGGAAACUUUAAUCAGUCGUCUUCAUUCUACCACCCAUUUAAGAGGAGUAAAACUGGCCCAGCUCCUAAGGAGCCAUUUCAAGAUCCCUUCGCCUUCAGAACUCUGCAAACCAAGCAGCUCUCUGGUGUAUGGCUUGUGCUCAAGUAAAUGCCAAGCAAGGUCCUAAACCCAUCUCAGGGCACUGCCUCCGGGGAAACUCGCCAGGAAAAAGGUAGGAAAUUGACUUUACAGAAAUAAAACCACACUGGACUAAGUAGAAAUACCUUUUGGUACUAGCAGAUACAUUUUCUGGAUGGACUGAGGCAUUUGCCCCCAAAAACGAGACUGCCACCACAGUAGCUAGGUUUUUACUCGAUGAAAUCAUCCUUUGACAUAGGCUGCCUGCUGCCAUAAGGUCUGAUAAUAGACCAGCCUUCACCUUGUCCAUACCUCAGUCAGUCAGUAAGAACUCAGAGCUCUGCACAGGUAGAAUGCAUAAACCACACCCUAAAAAUACUUUUACAAAGUUAAUCUUAAAGACUGGUGAAGAUUAGGUAAGGCUCCUUCUUUAGUCCUUCUUAAAGUAAGAUGAACUUCCUACCAGGCUAGGUUUUCACCUUUUAAAAUCAUAUAUAAGAGGGUUCCGCCGAUCUUGCCUAAGCUAAAAGAUACCCAUUUAGCAGAAAUCUCACAAGCUAAUUUAUUACAUUAC
Molecule: long non-coding RNA, 3416 nt
Organism: Homo sapiens (human)
Lineage: Eukaryota; Metazoa; Chordata; Mammalia; Primates; Hominidae
Exons: 3
Source: RefSeq, a predicted model, not a curated record